This is a long non-coding RNA of Cercocebus atys (sooty mangabey), 243 nucleotides long. RefSeq lists it as uncharacterized. The transcript has 3 exons. NCBI's taxonomy places the organism in Eukaryota, Metazoa, Chordata, Mammalia, Primates, Cercopithecidae. The record is from RefSeq and is a predicted model, not a curated record.
CAGUCUGCAGAGCUAUCUACAGGGCUGGUGGGAGACCCCUGAAAAGAAACCGGAGAAGCUUGCUGACAAAAGACUGGAAUUCUGGGCUCAGCUGUCUCCAGGACUCAGGGGCCCAUUGGGCAAUCCAUCACGGAGCACACCUGGCCUGCCCAAAGGACACAGCAGGCAGUGGGAGUCCAGAAAUGAACCAGACCCAUCCCUGGCCAUGGAGGAACACCCAACCUAACUGGAGAGACAAAGGUG